AACGAACGCUGGCGGCAUGCCUAACACAUGCAAGUCGAACGAGACCUUCGGGUCUAGUGGCGCACGGGUGCGUAACGCGUGGGAACCUGCCCUUAGGUUCGGAAUAACUCCCCGAAAGGGGUGCUAAUACCGGAUAAUGUCUUCGGACCAAAGAUUUAUCGCCUUUGGAUGGGCCCGCGUUGGAUUAGCUAGUUGGUAGGGUAAAAGCCUACCAAGGCGACGAUCCAUAGCUGGUCUGAGAGGAUGCUCAGCCACACUGGGACUGAGACACGGCCCAGACUCCUACGGGAGGCAGGAGUGGGGAAUAUUGGACAAUGGGCGAAAGCCUGAUCCAGCAAUGCCGCGUGAGUGAUGAAGGCCUUAGGGUUGUAAAGCUCUUUUACACGGGAUGAUAAUGACAGUACCGGGAGAAUAAGCUCCGGCUAACUCCGUG
Molecule: ribosomal RNA, 433 nt
Filed under: uncultured bacterium
Lineage: Bacteria
Description: partial 16S ribosomal RNA
Rfam family: Bacterial small subunit ribosomal RNA
Source: RNAcentral